This is a long non-coding RNA of Neopsephotus bourkii (Bourke's parrot), 219 nucleotides long. RefSeq lists it as uncharacterized. The record is from RefSeq and is a predicted model, not a curated record. The transcript has 2 exons. NCBI's taxonomy places the organism in Eukaryota, Metazoa, Chordata, Aves, Psittaciformes, Psittacidae.
CCACAUUUCCUGUUCUGUAGGAAAAAAACACAAGAAAAAUACAACUGCAGGCUCUCAGGCUGGGAUACCACGCAGCAAGCAGAAGAUCAUUACCACCAGCACAGCUUUUCUUAGCAUCAAACUGGGCUAAUCGACCUGUGUGGUAAAGAACAUGCUUCCACAGAAAUGAGUAUUUGUUCUGCUUUGCUUUGUUUUUAAUAAAAAUAAAACAACAGUUUA